RNAcentral lists this ribosomal RNA (254 nucleotides) under uncultured bacterium. RNAcentral describes it as "partial 16S ribosomal RNA". It matches the Rfam family "Bacterial small subunit ribosomal RNA", at positions 524 to 776 of the family's 1533-position model. The record is from RNAcentral.
UACGAAGGGGGCUAGCGUUGUUCGGAAUCACUGGGCGUAAAGCGCACGUAGGCGGAUCGCUAAGUCGGGGGUGAAAUCCCGAGGCUCAACCUCGGAACUGCCUUCGAUACUGGCGAUCUUUGAGUCCGGGAGAGGUGAGUGGAACUCCGAGUGUAGAGGUGAAAUUCGUAGAUAUUCGGAAGAACACCAGUGGCGAAGGCGGCUCACUGGCCCGGUACUGACGCUGAGGUGCGAAAGCGUGGGGAGCAAACAGG